This 753-nucleotide ribosomal RNA is filed under the name Staphylococcus sp. RNAcentral describes it as "bacterial SSU rRNA". It matches the Rfam family "Bacterial small subunit ribosomal RNA", at positions 69 to 803 of the family's 1533-position model. Lineage: Bacteria; Bacillati; Bacillota; Bacilli; Caryophanales; Staphylococcaceae. The record is from RNAcentral.
AGAUAAGGAGCUUGCUCCUUUGACGUUAGCGGCGAGACGGGUGAGUAACACGUGGGUAACCUACCGUAUAAGACGUGGGAUAACUUCGGGAAACCGGAGCUAAUACCGAGAUAACAUUUGGAACCGCAUGGUUCUAAAGUGAAAGAUGGUUUUGCUAUCACUUAUAGAUGGACCCGCGCCGUAUUAGCUAGUUGGUAAGGUAACGGCUUACCAAGGCGACGAUACGUAGCCGACCUGAGAGGGUGAUCGGCCACACUGGAACUGAGACACGGUCCAGACUCCUACGGGAGGCAGCAGUAGGGAAUCUUCCGCAAUGGGCGAAAGCCUGACGGAGCAACGCCGCGUGAGUGAUGAAGGGUUUCGGCUCGUAAAACUCUGUUAUUAGGGAAGAACAAACGUGUAAGUAACUGUGCACGUCUUGACGGUACCUAAUCAGAAAGCCACGGCUAACUACGUGCCAGCAGCCGCGGUAAUACGUAGGUGGCAAGCGUUAUCCGGAAUUAUUGGGCGUAAAGCGCGCGUAGGCGGUUUCUUAAGUCUGAUGUGAAAGCCCACGGCUCAACCGUGGAGGGUCAUUGGAAACUGGGAAACUUGAGUGCAGAAGAGGAAAGUGGAAUUCCAUGUGUAGCGGUGAAAUGCGCAGAGAUAUGGAGGAACACCAGUGGCGAAGGCGACUUUCUGGUCUGUAACUGACGCUGAUGUGCGAAAGCGUGGGGAUCAAACAGGAUUAGAUACCCUGGUAGUCCACGCCGU